GAACCCUAAAGCUCAAUGGAAAAUCCAUCACAAGUUAUUGGAGCUUAUGGCAAUGCGUCUAUGUCUCUCUCUUUAUCUGCCAUCAAGAGUUUAACGGGAACCAAUUAUGAGGAUUGAUAUGAGGCUCUCACCAUUAAUUUGGCUAUCAUGAAUUUGGAUUUAGCUUUAAGGGUCGAUGCGCCUGUUGAAAAGACUCGUUAUAAGCAGUGGGUGAAUUCUAAUAGGACUUGACUCAUGAUUAUGAAGUAUACUAUUGACAAGUCUAUCAGGCAGAGCAUAACUGAUACAGAUAGUGCUAAAGAAUAUCUUGAUGACGUUGGGAAGAAAUUUACUAAGUUUGAUAAGGCAGAAAAGGAAACUCUAAUGAAACUUCUUACUACCACAACCUGUGAUGGGGUUAGUGGAGUCUGAGAGCGCAUCAUGAAGCUUGCUAAUUUCUUUAACAAACUCAAAGGAAUGAAAGUUGAGUUAGUAUAUAGCUUUCUUGUAUGACAAGUGUUUGAAUCUUUUCCAUCUCAGUUUGAUGCACUCAAGACCACUUAUAAUGCUCAGAAAGACGAAUGGAGCUUGAGUGAAAUGACUGCUAUUGUAAUUCAAGAAGAGCAGAUGAUGAAAAAGGCCAAGUCUCAUGUUGCUUUCAUGGUAAUUGUUGAUAAAGGAAAGAAGUUAUUCAAAGGUAAUAGUAGCAACUCCUGUAAGAUGAAGAAAUCUGGGAGACCUCCUCAACAAGUUAGUGUAAGUGUUCCAAAUGGGCCUAAGAAAGAAGUUUUAAGGGAAGGUGCAACUUCUGUCAUUUGUUUGGGCAUAAGCAGGUUGAUUGUAGGAGAUUUAAGACUUGAUUAGACAAGAAAGGUACACGUUCAUUACUAGUGUGUUUGAGUCUAAUCUAGUCGAUGUGCCUUCUGAUACUUGGUGGCUAGAUACUGGUGCAACCAUUCACACUACAAAUUCUUUACAGAAAUUAAGGAACCACAGAAGACCAACUGAUAUAGAGUUGGUUGUAAAUAUGGGCAAUGGUGUGAAGGUUAAAGUUGAACAUAUUGGUGUUGUCAAACUUAUUUUGGCUUUUAAGCAUGUUUUGAACUUGUCUGAUACUGCUUUUAUACCUUCCAUUAGAAGAAAUCUUAUCUUUGUUUCUAUUUUGGACAAAUGUGCUUAUGUUUUUCAUUUUGAAAAUGGAAAGGCUACAAUCUUUUAUGA
Juglans microcarpa x Juglans regia is the source of this 1200-nucleotide long non-coding RNA. RefSeq lists it as uncharacterized. The record is from RefSeq and is a predicted model, not a curated record. Lineage: Eukaryota; Viridiplantae; Streptophyta; Magnoliopsida; Fagales; Juglandaceae. The transcript has 2 exons.